This 74-nucleotide transfer RNA is filed under the name Chitinophagales bacterium. RNAcentral's name for it is "tRNA-Arg". It matches the Rfam family "tRNA". Rfam says of the family: Transfer RNA (tRNA) molecules are approximately 80 nucleotides in length. The record is from RNAcentral. Lineage: Bacteria; Pseudomonadati; Bacteroidota; Chitinophagia; Chitinophagales.
GGAAAUGUAGUUCAAUUGGAUAGAAUAACAAUCUUCUAAAUUGUUUGGUGAUGGUUCGAAUCCAUCCAUUUCCA